Molecule: long non-coding RNA, 823 nt
Organism: Oncorhynchus tshawytscha (Chinook salmon)
Lineage: Eukaryota; Metazoa; Chordata; Actinopteri; Salmoniformes; Salmonidae
Exons: 3
Source: RefSeq, a predicted model, not a curated record
AGGAAGUGCAAUCGGCGUGGGCAGGAAGUGAAAGAACGUUAUGACAGAGAUCUCGUGUUGAACGUCAAAAGUCGCCAUGUUUGAUGUGGCAAGUUCAAAAAUUUGAGAAUACGAUUUUCUAUCCUAAAACACAGUGCUACGUGAAAUUAUUAAAUGCAUCGUUGUUGUUUUGAAUUGAUUGUGCUCCAUUCAGUAUGUAGUAGUGAUAUUUUACAGACACACACACACACCAAUGCUUGAUACGGCAUUUGCUAGCAAAUGAAGCAGGAUAGUUUUAAUUGGAGAAUUUGUUUUUGGUGACGUCGCUUUGUGUAAUCUUCACUCUGCAAUUCAUAACUCCCUCUAUCUCCUCAUGGUUGUGGACUAAAUAUCAGUCUUAAAAUGAACGAGUGGGCCAACAGUACAGUAGUAGUGUUGGAGCAGUCGUGGAUGAGGGUUGAGAGGUCAGUGCUGGUGGCAGUUCUAAGCAUGGAGAUGGUGCUGGGGGUCAUUGGGAACUGUCUGGUACUACGGGUAAAAAUCCUAUAGUGUAGGGGUCGGUUUCCCUGUAGAUACUGGGUCCCCUUCGUCAAUCUGACCCCUCUCACCACAGCUGAUACUCCUGGUUAGACUGGACCUAUCCCCUGCACCUGAUUGGCGGAGAACCUGUCGCCGGUGAUGCUCUACCUGGACUGAGAGUUGAACCCCAUCAUCUACUGUGCCAAUCAGGACUUGCAGGAGGCGGGACUUGCUCUGUUCUAGACCAGUAGGAAGUUGUUAUUCUCAGAGCCUGUGCUGACAAGCAUGACAAAGUUGGAAUUGGAAAGAUUGACAACAAAAUAAA